UAGGGAAUCUUCGGCAAUGGGGGCAACCCUGACCGAGCAACGCCGCGUGAGUGAAGAAGGUUUUCGGAUCGUAAAGCUCUGUUGUAAGUCAAGAACGAGUGUGAGAGUGGAAAGUUCACACUGUGACGGUAGCUUACCAGAAAGGGACGGCUAACUACGUGCCAGCAGCCGCGGUAAUACGUAGGUCCCGAGCGUUGUCCGGAUUUAUUGGGCGUAAAGCGAGCGCAGGCGGUUUGAUAGGUCUGAAGUUAAAGGCUGUGGCUCAACCAUAGUUCGCUUUGGAAACUGUCAAACUUGAGUGCAGAAGGGGAGAGUGGAAUUCCAUGUGUAGCGGUGAAAUGCGUAGAUAUAUGGAGGAACACCGGUGGCGAAAGCGGCUCUCUGGUCUGUAACUGACGCUGAGGCUCGAAAGCGUGGGGAGCGAACAGGAUUAGAUACCCUGGUAGUCCACGCCGUAAACGAUGAGUGCUAGGUGUUGGGUCCUUUCCGGGAUUCAGUGCCGCAGCUAACGCAUUAAGCACUCCGCCUGGGGAGUACGACCGCAAGGUUG
Molecule: ribosomal RNA, 550 nt
Filed under: uncultured bacterium
Lineage: Bacteria
Description: bacterial SSU rRNA
Rfam family: Bacterial small subunit ribosomal RNA
Source: RNAcentral